CCUACGGGAGGCAGCAGUGAGGAAUAUUGGUCAAUGGACGAGAGUCUGAACCAGCCAAGUCGCGUGAAGGAUGACUGCCCUACGGGUUGUAAACUUCUUUUAUAUGGGAAUAAAAUGUUCCACGUGUGGGAUUUUGUAUGUACCAUAUGAAUAAGGAUCGGCUAACUCCGUGCCAGCAGCCGCGGUAAUACGGAGGAUCCGAGCGUUAUCCGGAUUUAUUGGGUUUAAAGGGUGCGUAGGUGGAUUGUUAAGUCAGUUGUGAAAGUUUGCGGCUCAACCGUAGAAUUGCAGUUGAAACUGGCAGUCUUGAGUACGGUAGAGGUAGGCGGAAUGCGUGGUGUAGCGGUGAAAUGCUUAGAUAUCACGAAGAACUCCGAUUGCGAAGGCAGCUCACUGGACUGCAACUGACGCUGAGGCUCGAAAGUGUGGGUAUCGAACAGGAUUAGAUACCCGAGUAGUC
This 460-nucleotide ribosomal RNA is filed under the name uncultured bacterium. Its description in RNAcentral is "partial 16S ribosomal RNA". It matches the Rfam family "Bacterial small subunit ribosomal RNA", at positions 338 to 795 of the family's 1533-position model. The record is from RNAcentral.